Molecule: ribosomal RNA, 468 nt
Filed under: uncultured bacterium
Lineage: Bacteria
Description: partial 16S ribosomal RNA
Rfam family: Bacterial small subunit ribosomal RNA
Source: RNAcentral
GACGAACGCUGGCGGCGUGCUUAACACAUGCAAGUCGAACGGAAAGGCCCUGCUUUUGUGGGGUGCUCGAGUGGCGAACGGGGGGGUAACACGUGAGUAACCUGCCCUUGACUUUGGGAUAACUUCAGGAAACUGGGGCUAAUACCGGAUAGGAGCUCCUGCUGCAUGGUGGGGGUUGGAAAGUUUCGGCGGUUGGGGAUGGACUCGCGGCUUAUCAGCUUGUUGGUGGGGUAGUGGCGUACCAAGGCUAUGACGGGUAGCCCGCCUGAGCGGGUGAACGGCCUCCAUGGGCCUGCGGUACGGACCAGACUCCUACGGGAGGCAGCAGUGGGGAAUAUUGCACAGUGGGCGGAAGCCUGAGGCAGCAACGCCGCGUGCGUGAUGACGGCCUUCGGGUUGUAAACCGCUUUCGCCUGUGACGAAGCGUGAGUGACGGUAAUGGGUAAAGAAGCACCGGCUAACUACGUG